UACGUAGGGGGCAAGCGUUGUCCGGAUGUAUUGGGCGUAAAGAGCGUGUAGGCGGCCUGAAAGGUCAGCUGUGAAAACUCGAGGCUCAACCUCGAGACGUCGGUUGAAACCAUCUGGCUAGAGUCCGGAAGAGGAGUGUGGAAUUCCCGGUGUAGCGGUGAAAUGCGCAGAUAUCGGGAAGAACACCCGUGGCGAAGGCGGCACUCUGGGACGGUACUGACGCUGAGACGCGAAAGCGUGGGGAGCGAACAGG
This 253-nucleotide ribosomal RNA is filed under the name uncultured bacterium. RNAcentral's name for it is "partial 16S ribosomal RNA". It matches the Rfam family "Bacterial small subunit ribosomal RNA", at positions 524 to 776 of the family's 1533-position model. The record is from RNAcentral.